GAUCCCGGUCGUGUGGGAGAAGGGCUGUUUGUGAUUUGAAGCACACUUUGUUAUGCAAAAAGGAAAAUAAGCCGUCAGUAUUUAUUUUUUUUAGCUCUACUGGAAAUGAAGAGUUAAGUCUUGGUAUUGGGACCCUGGAGUCCAUUGUUCUUCCAAAAGAAUACUGCGAACUUUCCUUUUUAAAUCAGCUGAAUCAGUUAAAGGGGUUUAUUGGGACGAAGAAAACCGUUGGAUUAGUAGUUUGUUGUUUAGUUUGUUUAGUAUUCCAUCAGUGAAUUGAGUCCUUCACAGGACUCGAGAACUUCACAAGUUCAAUAUAAGAUUGGCCAAAGUUAUUACAUUUUCAGAGGACAAGGAUGUAAUAUUAUCCACAAAAAAUGCUAUGAUGAAGAAAACCGGGCCUGCAACCUCUGCUGAUAAGCAAGUAAUAGCAAAAAAGUCUUAUCCAAAGACUACUUAUAGUCAACGGGGCUCCAAAAAAAGUACAACCUCACUAAAAUUGUCAACUGAUGGUUCUACAAUGGCUAGAAAAAGAAUGCAAAUUCUUGAUGAAGACUUAGAAGGUAUGGUAUGUAAAAUUUCAGUAAAGACAAGUAUUUGUCAUCUGAACUAGACUCGGGUGACAGCUUUAACCUAAAUGAACAAGAAUACUGUAAUUGGGUCAUUCCAUAUGAAAUCAACCAAUGACAGUGACGGUCAUCUCGCCGAUUUUAAAUUUUUUUAAUGUUUUAUUGUUGAUAUAUACUGUACUAGUUAGUAUCCAAAAUUUUUUUGAAAAUAAAUCACCCGUUCCCGUGUUACAGGCUUUCAAAGUUUUUAGCGCGCUUAAAUUAGGUAUAGUUUAAUAAUCAUUUUUACCUAAAAGUAUGUAGGAAUAUAUAUAUUUUUAAAUUGGAUAAGUAGAUUAUCAUACUUCAUCAUACUAUGUUAUUAUAAUUUCUAGGGAAAUGAGUAAAAUGAUUAACGUGAUAAUGGAGGACUUGUGGGAUAGAACAUUUAUGUCAAGCCACAGUUUAACUGGAAAAAAGGCACCCACUGAUAAAAGUAGCAAUCCUCCCAAGCCUGCUCUUCCAAAAAAAGUUGUUGAAGCCAUAACAGGAAACCCGACACAAGAUGGGAAUCGAUCCGUCAUUGGUGUCUCUAUGCAUAACUGCAAAAAUUUUAAUUGAGCACAUGGCUCAAAAGUCAAGAGAGAAGAUGCUGGCAGUGGAGGAAGUGGCAGAUUCAGAGUAAAUUAAUAAACAGUGCGUUUCUAGUCCAAUAUUUAUGCACUUAUAUGAUUACGUUUACAAUGUCCCUGUAUGUAAUAUUUUUCGCAUUCACGUUCGUUUUUACAGUUUUUUCUAUUGUAUUUUAUAUAAAGUCACGCAUUUGAAAUUUCGGAAACACAAAGAAAUCUAUACCAAAUACAAAGAAUGUUCCA
Molecule: long non-coding RNA, 1423 nt
Organism: Daphnia magna
Lineage: Eukaryota; Metazoa; Arthropoda; Branchiopoda; Diplostraca; Daphniidae
Exons: 5
Source: RefSeq, a predicted model, not a curated record